Molecule: long non-coding RNA, 240 nt
Filed under: Brassica napus (rape)
Lineage: Eukaryota; Viridiplantae; Streptophyta; Magnoliopsida; Brassicales; Brassicaceae
Description: long non-coding RNA (BNAP_LNC010968)
Source: RNAcentral
AGUUAAAGAGUGGGGUUUAGGAUUUAGGGUUUAGGGUUUAGAGUUUAGGGUUUAGGGUUUAGGGUUUAGGGUUUAGGGUUUAGCGUUUAGGGUUUAGGGUUUAGCGUUUAGGGUUUAGGGUUCGCGUCUGGUAUAGUGUGUUUUGACUUUUUUUGUGUUUGUUUUAAAUGAUUUGAUCUCAAUUGAGGUAAUUUAAUAGAUUUUAUAAAAUCCAAUGAUAAUCUAGGAUCUGUUUAUUAU